This 492-nucleotide ribosomal RNA is filed under the name uncultured bacterium. RNAcentral describes it as "partial 16S ribosomal RNA". It matches the Rfam family "Bacterial small subunit ribosomal RNA", at positions 30 to 507 of the family's 1533-position model. The record is from RNAcentral.
AUUGAACGCUGGCGGCAGGCAUAACACAUGCAAGUCGAACGGCAGCACAGUAAUAGCUUGCUCUUACGGCUGCCGAGUGGCGAACGAUUGAUGGAUACAUCGGAGGCUGCUUUUGCUUGCGUGAUGACAUAGGGACUCUUACGCUAAUACUGCAUACGACCUACGUGGGAGAGCUUCGGAUCUUCCGCCCUCGCACGAUUCAAUGACGCGGUGUCGGAUUAGCGAGUUGGCGGGCUAAAGGCCCACCAAGGCGACGAUCCGUAGCUGGUCUGAGAGGGUGAUGAGGCACACUGGAACUGAGAGACGGUCCAGACGCCUACGGUAGGCAGCAGUGGGGAAUAUGGGACAAUGGGCGAAAGCCUGAUCCAGCCAUGCCGCGUGGGUGAAGAAGGUCUUCGGAUUGUAAAGCACUUUAAGUUGGGAGGAAGGGCAGUAAGUUAAUACCUUGCUGUUCUGACGUUACCAACAGAAUAAGCAACGGCUAACUUCGUG